CUCGACCCCUCUCGCACCAGCACGCUACUGCCGCCGCCCGGACCCCCUCCCACCAGUGCGCCGUUGCUACCUCCUCCCACGCGUUGGCCGCCUCCUUUCCCCACCGCCAUCCGGCUCGCUCCCCCCGUGUCGACCACUAGUCUCCCUUCAGCUCGGCGUCGGCUUCGGUCCAGCUGCACCUGCGACGACCACCUCCUCCAGCCUCCAUCCACCUCUUGCCAAGAUCCCCUUAAGCGAUCCAACCCCCGUCAAUUCAGUGUGAUCUCUCCCGAAGGCAAGUUUGUGGAGCUGACAAUUCUAUAGGGAAUUACAUGCCAAGAAUCUGAAGGGAUGAAAUUACCUUGGUUAUUACUUGACAUUGGUUCUACUAUAACCGAAGCUGCACGUUGAAAAUUCGGGAUGCAUAAGCUAGCAUAGUUAUGCUUCUGGAGGUUCAACUUUUUCUUGACAAACACACAGCAGAUGUUCCUGUAUUAGUUCGGGUGUCGCCCCUCCGCCUCCUUCUGGUACCCUCAGCGACGCUCCCCGCCACCUUUCUGCAUUGUCCCAGUGGGUGGUCCGACACGGCCGCAUCCAGCGGUCCAACACCGUCAUCGGAGGCCGUUCAAUGUCCCAGCGCCUCCUUCCUAGUAAUCGUGAGGGACGCCCUGCUCGAAAUCUUUCCUCUCCAUCUCCCGACGGUGAACAUUUUCAUGCCCCGUGUUCGAACUGCCAUUUUAUUUUGAAUUGAACUAGGGCUGCUCUUGAUUCAGACCUGGGGGAAGAAGGAAGAACCUCUCUCUUAUAGGCAGUAAUAUUGCUCUCUCAUAUCAUCUCUCAUCUAGUAGGUAGUAAAUAUUUUGAUGAAUGUGUUACUCAAAAAACAAAAUGUUGUAUUGAUAUUCAGUAUCUUAGAGAAACGUUGUUGUGUUCUGGAUGACAAAUAACACAUGUGACAGUAAGUCCAGGUAUUUCUACAUGAGGAGUAAAAAAUUA
Molecule: long non-coding RNA, 975 nt
Organism: Triticum dicoccoides
Lineage: Eukaryota; Viridiplantae; Streptophyta; Magnoliopsida; Poales; Poaceae
Exons: 3
Source: RefSeq, a predicted model, not a curated record